AAGGGAGACCUAAUUCAGGUAGGAGACGAAAAAAAAGUAGUCCCAACCAAGAAUCAAUCCCAAAAGGUCGGAGCGAGGCGAAAUUGGCUUUCAAACUAGGUUCUGGGUUCACACAAGACCUGAAUCAGGAACAAGGGCUAUUAGCUCAGGUGGUUAGAGCGCACCCCUGAUAAGGGUGAGGUCCCUGGUUCGAGUCCAGGAUGGCCCACCUGCACAGGUGGCAAAAACAAGAGAAGCGAGGAAUCAGCACCUUACCUUAUCUAUAUAUAUAUAGGAGAGAAUGCUGGCUCUGAGUAAAGAGUCCAGAGGAACCUUGAAAACUGCAUAGAGUUAGGUGAAAAAGCCAAAAAAGAAGACCGCAA
Molecule: transfer RNA, 362 nt
Filed under: uncultured Microcystis sp.
Lineage: Bacteria; Bacillati; Cyanobacteriota; Cyanophyceae; Chroococcales; Microcystaceae
Description: partial 16S-23S ribosomal RNA intergenic spacer
Rfam family: tRNA (bases 135-208)
Source: RNAcentral